RNAcentral lists this ribosomal RNA (576 nucleotides) under uncultured bacterium. RNAcentral describes it as "bacterial SSU rRNA". It matches the Rfam family "Bacterial small subunit ribosomal RNA", at positions 102 to 674 of the family's 1533-position model. The record is from RNAcentral.
ACGGGUGAGUAAUACAUCGGAACGUAUCCUGGAGUGGGGGAUAGCCCGGCGAAAGCCGGAUUAAUACCGCAUACGCUCUGAGGAGGAAAGCGGGGGACCUUCGGGCCUCGCGCUCAAGGGGCGGCCGAUGGCGGAUUAGGUAGUUGGUGGGGUAAAGGCCUACCAAGCCGACGAUCCGUAGCUGGUCUGAGAGGACGACCAGCCACGCUGGGACUGAGACACGGCCCAGACUCCUACGGGAGGCAGCAGUGGGGAAUUUUGGACAAUGGGGGCAACCCUGAUCCAGCAAUGCCGCGUGUGUGAAGAAGGCCUUCGGGUUGUAAAGCACUUUUGUCCGGAAAGAAAUCAUCGGGGCCAAUACCCCUGGUGGAUGACGGUACCGGAAGAAUAAGCACCGGCUAACUACGUGCCAGCAGCCGCGGUAAUACGUAGGGUGCGAGCGUUAAUCGGAAUUACUGGGCGUAAAGCGUGCGCAGGCGGUGCUGUAAGACCGAUGUGAAAUCCCCGGGCUUAACCUGGGAACUGCAUUGGUGACUGCAGCGCUGGAGUAUGGCAGAGGGGGGUGGAAUUCCACGU